This 1346-nucleotide ribosomal RNA is filed under the name uncultured bacterium. RNAcentral's name for it is "partial 16S ribosomal RNA". It matches the Rfam family "Bacterial small subunit ribosomal RNA", at positions 28 to 1381 of the family's 1533-position model. The record is from RNAcentral.
GACGAACGCUGGCGGCGUGCUUAACACAUGCAAGUCGAACGGAAAGGCCCUGCUUUUGUGGGGUGCUCGAGUGGCGAACGGGUGAGUAACACGUGAGUAACCUGCCCUUGACUUUGGGAUAACUUCAGGAAACUGGGGCUAAUACCGGAUAGGAGCUCCUGCUGCAUGGUGAGGGUUGGAAAGUUUCGGCGGUUGGGGAUGGACUCGCGGCUUAUCAGCUUGUUGGUGGGGUAGUGGCUUACCAAGGCUUUGACGGGUAGCCGGCCUGAGAGGGUGACCGGCCACAUUGGGACUGAGAUACGGCCCAGACUCCUACGGGAGGCAGCAGUGGGGAAUAUUGCACAAUGGGCGGAAGCCUGAUGCAGCAACGCCGCGUGCGGGAUGACGGCCUUCGGGUUGUAAACCGCUUUCGCCUGUGACGAAGCGUGAGUGACGGUAAUGGGUAAAGAAGCACCGGCUAACUACGUGCCAGCAGCCGCGGUGAUACGUAGGGUGCGAGCGUUGUCCGGAUUUAUUGGGCGUAAAGGGCUCGUAGGUGGUUGAUCGCGUCGGAAGUGUAAUCUUGGGGCUUAACCCUGAGCGUGCUUUCGAUACGAGUUGACUUGAGGAAGGUAGGGGAGAAUGGAAUUCCUGGUGGAGCGGUGGAAUGCGCAGAUAUCAGGAGGAACACCAGUGGCGAAGGCGGUUCUCUGGGCCUUUCCUGACGCUGAGGAGCGAAAGCGUGGGGAGCGAACAGGCUUAGAUACCCUGGUAGUCCACGCUGUAAACGGUGGGUACUAGGUGUGGGGUCCAUUCCACGGGUUCCGUGCCGUAGCUAACGCUUUAAGUACCCCGCCUGGGGAGUACGGCCGCAAGGCUAAAACUCAAAGGAAUUGACGGGGCCCCGCACAAGCGGCGGAGCAUGCGGAUUAAUUCGAUGCAACGCGUAGAACCUUACCUGGGUUUGACAUGGAUCGGGAGUGCUCAGAGAUGGGUGUGCCUCUUUUGGGGUCGGUUCACAGGUGGUGCAUGGCUGUCGUCAGCUCGUGUCGUGAGAUGUUGGGUUAAGUCCCGCAACGAGCGCAACCCUUGUUCACUGUUGCCAACACGUUAUGGUGGGGACUCAGUGGAGACCGCCGGGGUCAACUCGGAGGAAGGUGGGGAUGACGUCAAGUCAUCAUGCCCCUUAUGUCCAGGGCUUCACGCAUGCUACAAUGGCUGGUACAGAGAGUGGCGAGCCUGUGAGGGUGAGCGAAUCUCGGAAAGCCGGUCUCAGUUCGGAUUGGGGUCUGCAACUCGACCUCAUGAAGUCGGAGUCGCUAGUAAUCGCAGAUCAGCAACGCUGCGGUGAAUACGUUCCCGGGGCU